Molecule: non-coding RNA, 147 nt
Filed under: Paraburkholderia sp. RAU2J
Lineage: Bacteria; Pseudomonadati; Pseudomonadota; Betaproteobacteria; Burkholderiales; Burkholderiaceae
Source: RNAcentral
CCUGUUGUGCGACCGACAGUUGCCUAUCCAGACAUGGUCAACUGGUAACGGCUGAGUAUGACGCUUUGGAGACAACGCGCCUCUCGAUUGACGGCUCACCCCGGUGACGGGGCGGGCGACACUGCCAGCCGCCGUGCGGUGUGAGGU